RNAcentral lists this ribosomal RNA (492 nucleotides) under uncultured Bacillota bacterium. RNAcentral describes it as "bacterial SSU rRNA". It matches the Rfam family "Bacterial small subunit ribosomal RNA", at positions 28 to 504 of the family's 1533-position model. The record is from RNAcentral. Lineage: Bacteria; Bacillati; Bacillota.
GACGAACGCUGGCGGCGUGCCUAAUACAUGCAAGUCGAGCGCGAGAAGCACCUUCGGGUGUGGAUCGAGCGGCGAACGGGUGAGUAACACGUGGGCAACCUGCCCGCAAGACUGGGAUAAUUCCGGGAAACCGGGGCUAAUACCAGAUACGUCUUCCCUUCGCAUGAAGGGAAGGGAAAGGUUGCAUUAGCAGCCACUUGCGGAUGGGCCCGCGGCGCAUUAGCUAGUUGGUGGGGUAACGGCCUACCAAGGCGACGAUGCGUAGCCGACCUGAGAGGGUGACCGGCCACACUGGGACUGAGACACGGCCCAGACUCCUGCGGGAGGCAGCAGUAGGGAAUUUUCCGCAAUGGACGAAAGUCUGACGGAGCAACGCCGCGUGAGUGAGGACGGUCUUCGGAUUGUAAAACUCUGUUCUUUCGGAAGAGCGUCACGGAGCUGAAUAGGUUCUGUGACCCGACGGUACGAAAGGAGAAAGCCCCGGCUAACUAC